CGGAGGGUGCAAGCGUUAAUCGGAAUUACUGGGCGUAAAGCGCACGCAGGCGGUCUGUUAAGUCAGAUGUGAAAUCCCCGGGCUUAACCUGGGAACUGCAUUUGAAACUGGCAGGCUUGAGUCUUGUAGAGGGGGGUAGAAUUCCAGGUGUAGCGGUGAAAUGCGUAGAGAUCUGGAGGAAUACCGGUGGCGAAGGCGGCCCCCUGGACAAAGACUGACGCUCAGGUGCGAAAGCGUGGGGAGCAAACAGGAUUAGAUACCCUGGUAGUCCACGCCGUAAACGAUGUCGACUUGGAGGUUGUUCCCUUGAGGAGUGGCUUCCGGAGCUAACGCGUUAAGUCGACCGCCUGGGGAGUACGGCCGCAAGGUUA
This 371-nucleotide ribosomal RNA is filed under the name uncultured organism. RNAcentral's name for it is "bacterial SSU rRNA". It matches the Rfam family "Bacterial small subunit ribosomal RNA", at positions 526 to 896 of the family's 1533-position model. The record is from RNAcentral.